GAGUUUGAUCCUGGCUCAGGAUGAACGCUGGCGGCGUGCCUAAUACAUGCAAGUCGAGCGAACGGACGAGAAGCUUGCUUCUCUGAUGUUAGCGGCGGACGGGUGAGUAACACGUGGAUAACCUACCUAUAAGACUGGGAUAACUUCGGGAAACCGGAGCUAAUACCGGAUAAUAUUUUGAACCGCAUGGUUCAAAAGUGAAAGACGGUCUUGCUGUCACUUAUAGAUGGAUCCGCGCUGCAUUAGCUAGUUGGUAAGGUAACGGCUUACCAAGGCAACGAUGCAUAGCCGACCUGAGAGGGUGAUCGGCCACACUGGAACUGAGACACGGUCCAGACUCCUACGGGAGGCAGCAGUAGGGAAUCUUCCGCAAUGGGCGAAAGCCUGACGGAGCAACGCCGCGUGAGUGAUGAAGGUCUUCGGAUCGUAAAACUCUGUUAUUAGGGAAGAACAUAUGUGUAAGUAACUGUGCACAUCUUGACGGUACCUAAUCAGAAAGCCACGGCUAACUACGUCG
Molecule: ribosomal RNA, 517 nt
Filed under: uncultured microorganism
Description: bacterial SSU rRNA
Rfam family: Bacterial small subunit ribosomal RNA
Source: RNAcentral